RNAcentral lists this ribosomal RNA (433 nucleotides) under uncultured bacterium. RNAcentral describes it as "partial 16S ribosomal RNA". It matches the Rfam family "Bacterial small subunit ribosomal RNA", at positions 29 to 507 of the family's 1533-position model. The record is from RNAcentral.
AACGAACGCUGGCGGCAUGCCUAACACAUGCAAGUCGAACGAGACCUUCGGGUCUAGUGGCGCACGGGUGCGUAACGCGUGGGAACCUGCCCUUAGGUUCGGAAUAACUCUCCGAAAGGGGUGCUAAUACCGGAUAAUGUCUUCGGACCAAAGAUUUAUCGCCUUUGGAUGGGCCCGCGUUGGAUUAGCUUGUUGUUAGGGUAAAAGCCUACCAAGGCGAGGAUCCGUAGCUGGUCUGGGAGGAUGAUCAGCCACACUGGGACUGGGACACGGCCCAGACUCCUACGGGAGGCGGCAGUGGGGAAUAUAGGACAGUGGGCGGAAGGCUGAUCCAGCAAGGCCGCGUGAGUGAUGAUGGCCUUAGGGUUGUAAAGCGCUUUUACCCAGGAUGAUAAUGACGGUACCGAGAGAAUAAGCUCCGGCUAACUCCGUG